Long non-coding RNA from Nicotiana tabacum (common tobacco), 979 nucleotides. RefSeq lists it as uncharacterized. The record is from RefSeq and is a predicted model, not a curated record. Lineage: Eukaryota; Viridiplantae; Streptophyta; Magnoliopsida; Solanales; Solanaceae.
ACUAAACCUAACCCUAGUUCCUUUUCUCUAUAGCAGUCACCCUCUCUCGUUCAUCUAUCUCACAUGGCCAUUUUUAGCAAACUCCAAAGCUUUUCAAACCUAAGUGAGGGAUGCUCUACCAUUUUUGUGCAAACCUUGGUAACUCCAUAACGUCUCUCCAACGCUUUCCUCUCUCAUCUCUAUCACAAGAUUUGGUCAAGAAUAAGAGGCCAAAGAACUUUUGAAUAAAUCAGAUUCUUCUACACUUUUCAGAGAUUUGACUCUCAAACGGCUACAAUUCAGAGACUGAAGCCGAACCCGUGACCCCCUUUUCUUUGAUUUUCAAAUCUCGCUCAGAAAUUCGAACCCUAUAUUGAUUUCGCCUAUAAAUACUCCUAAAACCUUCAGCCUAAACCAAGCUUGAGCACAGGUAAAAACCAGGCUUGAAUCACCAAAAAAAAAAAAUCGUGCUUCAAUUUACAUUCAAGUUCUAAAUUUCAGUUUAGUAGUGAACAGUAGUGGAUCUGAGACCUCAAAGCCUACAGUUCACUGCCCCAUAAAAGUUUCACAUGAACACCGGAGCGGAAGUGUCCCACUUUGAGACUCGACGACGCUGCAGCACUAUACCUGCAUGGACUCAGCACACUUUUUACGUUCUCACUGCUGAUGUAGUGAUAAAACAACAAAAUUAUCCCGCGUGGGAUGUUGGCGGAGAAGCCAGUCAAUUGUCCUUUUGAUUUCUGCGUUAAUCACAAUGUUGUUUCUUAAUAUGUUAGAAUCUUAAUUGUUAUGUGAUACUAUAUCAAUUCAGUGAGGUGUUUACGUAUGGAUAAUAAUAGAGGUACUCAUCAUAUCACAUAGAACAUAACAUCUAGACAUAAGGAUAUUAAGAAUUUGGUUAGCUUGAUUCAGGUUUGAGGUAUUAGAAUUGAACUGUAAGUGUGCUUAAAAUAUUGACUGUCGUCCUUUUCUUUAAACAACAACAUUGGUUUUUCAACUA